UAACGGGAAGACCCUUACCAGGUCUUGACAUCUUUUGCUAACCUAAGAGAUUAAGCGUUCCCUUCGGGGACGGAAUGACAGGUGGUGCAUGGUUGUCGUCAGCUCGUGUCGUGAGAUGUUGGGUUAAGUCCCGCAACGAGCGCAACCCUUAUUGUCAGUUGCCAGCAUUUAGUUGGGCACUCUGGCGAGACUGCCGGUGACAAACCGGAGGAAGGUGGGGAUGACGUCAAAUCAUCAUGCCCCUUAUGACCUGGGCUACACACGUGCUACAAUGGACGGUACAACGAGUCGCGAAACCGCGAGGUCAAGCUAAUCUCUUAAAGCCGUUCUCAGUUCGGAUUGUAGGCUGCAACUCGCCUACAUGAAGUUGGAAUCGCUAGUAAUCGUGGAUCAGC
This 395-nucleotide ribosomal RNA is filed under the name uncultured bacterium. RNAcentral's name for it is "bacterial SSU rRNA". It matches the Rfam family "Bacterial small subunit ribosomal RNA", at positions 957 to 1353 of the family's 1533-position model. The record is from RNAcentral.